Molecule: ribosomal RNA, 430 nt
Filed under: uncultured bacterium
Lineage: Bacteria
Description: bacterial SSU rRNA
Rfam family: Bacterial small subunit ribosomal RNA
Source: RNAcentral
AGUGGGGAAUUUUUCGCAAUGGGGGAAACCCUGACGAAGCAACGCCGCGUGGAGGAUGAAGGCCUUCGGGUUGUAAACUCCUGUCGACCGGGACGAAAGUAGUCCGACCCAAUACGUCGGGCUAUCGACUGUACCGGUGGAGGAAGCCACGGCUAACUCUGUGCCAGCAGCCGCGGUAAUACAGAGGUGGCAAGCGUUGUUCGGAAUUACUGGGCGUAAAGGGCGCGUAGGCGGUCUUUUAAGUCUUGUGUGAAGUCCCUCGGCUCAACUGAGGAACUGCACGGGAUACUGGAAGACUUGAGUUCGGGAGAGGGAAGCGGAAUUCCGGGUGUAGCGGUGAAAUGCGUAGAUAUCCGGAGGAACACCGGUGGCGAAGGCGGCUUCCUGGACCGAUCACUGACGCUGAGGCGCGAAAGCUAGGGGAGCAAAC